GAGUUUGAUCUUGGCUCAGAUUGAACGCUAGCGGGAUGCCUUACACAUGCAAGUCGAACGGCAGCGCGGGCUUCGGCCUGGCGGCGAGUGGCGAACGGGUGAGUAAUGCAUCGGAACGUGCCCAGUAGUGGGGGAUAACCACGCGAAAGCGUGGCUAAUACCGCAUACGCCCUUAGGGGGAAAGGGGGGGAUCCUUCGGGACCUCUCGCUAUUGGAGCGGCCGAUGUCGGAUUAGCUAGUUGGUGGGGUAAAGGCCUACCAAGGCGACGAUCCGUAGCUGGUUUGAGAGGACGACCAGCCACACUGGGACUGAGACACGGCCCAGACUCCUACGGAGGCAGCAGUGGGGAAUUUUGGACAAUGGGGGAAACCCUGAUCCAGCCAUCCCGCGUGUGCGAUGAAGGCCUUCGGGUUGUAAAGCACUUUUGGCAGGAAAGAAAUAGGCCUGGCUAAUACCUGGGCUGAAUGACGGUACCUGCAGAAUAAGCACCGGCUAACUACGUGCCAGCAGCCGCGGUAAUACGUAGGGUGCAAGCGUUAAUCGGAAUUACUGGGCGUAAAGCGUGCGCAGGCGGUUCGGAAAGAAAGGUGUGAAAUCCCAGGGCUUAACCUUGGAACUGCACUUUUAACUACCGGGCUAGAGUGUGUCAGAGGGAGGUGGAAUUCCGCGUGUAGCAGUGAAAUGCGUAGAGAUGCGGAGGAACACCGAUGGCGAAGGCAGCCUCCUGGGAUAACACUGACGCUCAUGCACGAAAGCGUGGGGAGCAAACAGGAUUAGAUACCCUGGUAGUCCACGCCCUAAACGAUGUCAACUAGCUGUUGGGGGCUUCGGCCCUUGGUAGCGCAGCUAACGCGUGAAGUUGACCGCCUGGGGAGUACGGUCGCAAGAUUAAAACUCAAACGAAUUGACGG
This 912-nucleotide ribosomal RNA is filed under the name bacterium ADC-6-3. RNAcentral's name for it is "bacterial SSU rRNA". It matches the Rfam family "Bacterial small subunit ribosomal RNA", at positions 9 to 916 of the family's 1533-position model. RNAcentral also lists the same sequence under 1 other name. The record is from RNAcentral.